This is a small nucleolar RNA of Argentina anserina (silverweed cinquefoil), 145 nucleotides long. RefSeq annotates it as small nucleolar RNA snoR137. The transcript has a single exon. NCBI's taxonomy places the organism in Eukaryota, Viridiplantae, Streptophyta, Magnoliopsida, Rosales, Rosaceae. The record is from RefSeq and is a predicted model, not a curated record.
GUUGCUUUAUAAUGGUGAACACCCUGUUGAUUUUGGUUGGGGAUGUUCAAUUUUCCAAAGCAUAGAGUGAUUGAUUAAUUGCCAGUAUUUAACAGCACCGUGCGUAUUUUUGCCUGCACUGUGUUACCUGUCUCCUGGUACAUUU